AGAAUGUAGUGUAUGCGCCUGCGCAUCGAACGGCCAGUGUAGGAUUGGRUAGUCUACUGGAAGACAGUGGGCCCUGCCGCAAGGUGGGGAUAUGUGUACCGGGCGGAGGCCGGAACAUGCUAUCCGUCUAUUGGGCUGUCUAGCCGGUGCACUUUCUCUGUGGUGAACACCACGACCGGUGGAACUGCCAGUCUGUCAUAGUCAAGUCGUAGUGGGCGGGCUUUCGGGUCUGCCUGCUGUGAUCACGGGCGUACUUGGUAUACGGCGUUAGUGCAUCUUUACGGUGUGCCGACGUGUUAUCGGCUACUAGUCGCUUUAUCGGGCCUGCCUAAUGCAUGUUAUAGCCGUGUGUUUGGUGGUCUGGUGGACUUUGAUGGUAAUAAUAACUGUGCAGGGCACCGGAGUUUUCGGCCUCAAAUGCAGUCUGCAUGCGUGCUAUGAGUGUAAUGUGUUUGUGGGUGUCGUCGCGAGCUGGCUGUUGUUGGAUUUGAUUGUCGUGUUGCCUACGAAAAGUGGGCCCGGCAGUGGUUCGAUGCAGAUUGGUCUCGUUGGCGGUGCCUGCGAUGUAGACUGUGGUGGGCCAGAUAGUCUGUGGUGUAGUGGUAGACGAGCUACCCGACCCGUCUUGAAACACGGACCAA
This 641-nucleotide ribosomal RNA is filed under the name Pseudanthobothrium hanseni. Its description in RNAcentral is "partial large subunit ribosomal RNA". Lineage: Eukaryota; Metazoa; Platyhelminthes; Cestoda; Rhinebothriidea; Echeneibothriidae. The record is from RNAcentral.